GAUGAACGCUGGCGGCGUGCCUAACACAUGCAAGUCGAGCGAACAGACGAGGACCUUGCUCCUUUGACGAUAGCGGCGGACGGGUGUGUCACACGUGGAUAACCUACUUAUAUGACUGGGAUAACUUCGGGACACCGGAGCUAAUCCCGGAUAACCUGUUCAACCGCAUGGUUCAACAGUGAAUGACGGUCUUGCUGUCACUUAUAGAUGGAUCCGCGCCGCAUUAGCUAGUGGGUAAGGUAACGGCUUACCAAGGCAACGCUGCGUAGCCGAACGCAGAGAGUGGUCGGCCACACGGGAACUGAGACGCGGUCCAGGCUCCUACGAGACGCAGCAGUAGGGAAUCUUCCGCAGCAGUCGAGAGCCUGACGCAACAGGCGCACGUGAGAGGAGAAGAUCUUCGGUGCGUGAAGCUGGGUUAUGAGUGAAGAACAAAUGUGUAAGUAACUGAACGCGUCUUGACGGUACCUAAUCAAGAAGCCACGGCUAACUACGUG
Molecule: ribosomal RNA, 497 nt
Filed under: uncultured bacterium
Lineage: Bacteria
Description: partial 16S ribosomal RNA
Rfam family: Bacterial small subunit ribosomal RNA
Source: RNAcentral